ACCUGUUUGUUUGUAAUAACCUGUUUGCAAUAACUUGUUUGUUUGCAACUCUCCUGGAUAACGCGUGGACCGCCUCUUCCACUGGAGCUCCUCUUCCACAGAACACCUAGACUACAAAAGAUGAACACACAAGAUUCUCACUGCCGUCUGCCUUUAGCCUUUUCCCGAACGCCUCUCCUAUGAUUGGUUUUCCCUACACGGCCCGGGAUGUUAGUAUGCUGCGCUCUCUCCCACGUCACUAGUUUCAUAAAUAGAUUUUCCUAACGUCAUGCCAGAUCAUUGUAAUUGGUUCCCGUCGCUUCUGUUGAAUUCCUGAUAGGCUAGGAAGUUUGUUCCUCGAGGUAAUAUUGUGGUGAGCCUAUCCUACCUGUUUGCUUGUCCUAACCUUAGCAGCACCUACAUUAUUACCUCGACAUUCCCCUCCCACGGAUUCUGCCCUCGUUGGCAGCAUUGAAGGAACGUAGCCAUGAUAUAGCAGCUACCUGUCCAUCGUCCAGAGAGAGAGUCAGCCAGCCCGUUAUAAUACACACCAGUUCCCAUUGAUCACCCAGCUACCCAACUGAUUUAGGAAUACUGAGACAGGUUCAGCAGCUGCAGUAAUUCAAGUAUUAUACAGAGCGUGAAGAAGAAUAACGCCUGUCUUUUAGUUACGAACAAAGUUGAGAGAACUUUAAGGUCAGAUGUUUUAGCGAGAAUAAAUAAGUUAGAAUAUUGUUUUUUUUAGCAGCAAACCCUUUUGUGCUGUGUUUUAAAUUGUGUAACUAUAAGUAGAUUCGGCUGAUCGAAGUAUAGCCGCUAGCUGUAAGAGAGUUCAAAGUCAAAGUAAUUUUAGUUUUGGCGUGGGAAGAGGGAUGAGCUCCUUAUAAUCCCAGUGCCCAACAGGGGGAGGCGAAUCCGCGAGGAUCCGGGGACACGUUAAACAAUUCUAUAGUGCU
Long non-coding RNA from Bolinopsis microptera, 935 nucleotides. RefSeq lists it as uncharacterized. NCBI's taxonomy places the organism in Eukaryota, Metazoa, Ctenophora, Tentaculata, Lobata, Bolinopsidae. The transcript is spliced from 6 exons. The record is from RefSeq and is a predicted model, not a curated record.